RNAcentral lists this ribosomal RNA (462 nucleotides) under uncultured bacterium. RNAcentral's name for it is "bacterial SSU rRNA". It matches the Rfam family "Bacterial small subunit ribosomal RNA", at positions 337 to 796 of the family's 1533-position model. The record is from RNAcentral.
UCCUACGGGAGGCAGCAGUGAGGAAUAUUGGUCAAUGGAGGCAACUCUGAACCAGCCAAGUAGCGUGCAGGACGACGGCCCUAUGGGUUGUAAACUGCUUUUAUACAGGGAUAAAGUGGGGUAUGCAUACCCCAUUGCAGGUACUGUAUGAAUAAGGACCGGCUAAUUCCGUGCCAGCAGCCGCGGUAAUACGGAAGGUCCGGGCGUUAUCCGGAUUUAUUGGGUUUAAAGGGAGCGCAGGCGGGAUAUUAAGCGUGACGUGAAAUGUAGGCGCUCAACGUCUGCACUGCGUCGCGAACUGGUAUUCUUGAGUGGGUUCGAUGUAGGCGGAAUUCGUGGUGUAGCGGUGAAAUGCUUAGAUAUCACGAAGAACUCCGAUUGCGAAGGCAGCCUACAAGGCCUUUACUGACGCUAAAGCUCGAAGGUGCGGGUAUCGAACAGGAUUAGAUACCCUGGUAGUCC